This 509-nucleotide ribosomal RNA is filed under the name uncultured soil bacterium. RNAcentral describes it as "bacterial SSU rRNA". It matches the Rfam family "Bacterial small subunit ribosomal RNA", at positions 26 to 539 of the family's 1533-position model. The record is from RNAcentral.
AGGACGAACGCUGGCGGCGCGCUUAACACAUGCAAGUCGAGCGAGAACCAGGGCUUCGGCCCUGGGGAAAGCGGCGAACGGGUGAGUAACACGUGAGUAACCUGUCCUCGGCACCGGGAUAGCCCGGGGAAACCCGGAUUAAUACCGGAUGGCCUUUCGAGUCUUCGGACCCGUCAGAAAAGGUGCUUCGGCCUCCGGCCGAGGAGGGACUCGCGGCGGAUUAGCUUGUUGGUGGGGUAACGGCUCACCAAGGCGACGAUCCGUAGCUGGUCUGAGAGGACGAUCAGCCACACUGGGACUGAGACACGGCCCAGACUCCUACGGGAGGCAGCAGUGGGGAAUCUUGCGCAAUGGGCGAAAGCCUGACGCAGCGACGCCGCGUGCGGGAAGAAGGCCUUGGUUGUAAACCGCUUUCGAGGUAGGGACGAAGCCGACUACGGGUUAAUAGCCCGAAGGGGUGACCGGUACCGUCCAGGAAGUAACGCCCCGGACUAACUACGGUGACCAGC